CCUACGGGCGGCAGCAGUGAGGAAUAUUGCUCAAUGGGCGCGAGCCUGAACCAGCCAAGUAGCGUGAAGGAAGAAUGCCCUACGGGUUGUAAACUUCUUUUAUAAAGGAAUAAAGUGAGGCACGUGUGCCUUUUUGUAUGUACUUUAUGAAUAAGGAUCGGCUAACUCAGUGCCAGAAGCCGCGGUAAUACGGAGGAUCCGAGCGUUAUCCGGAUUUAUUGGGUUUAAAGGGAGCGUAGAUGGGUUGUUAAGUCAGUUGUGGAAGUUUGCGGCUCAACCGUAAAAUUGCAAUUGAUACUGGCAGGCUUGAGUACAGUAGAGGUAGGCGGAAUUCGAGGUGUAGCGGUGAAAUGCUUAGAUAUCACGAAGAACUCCGAUUGCGAAGGCAGCUUACUAAACUGCCACUGACAUUGAUGCUCGAAAGUGUGGGUAGCAAACAGGAUUAGAUACCCCAGUAGUC
This 460-nucleotide ribosomal RNA is filed under the name uncultured bacterium. RNAcentral describes it as "partial 16S ribosomal RNA". It matches the Rfam family "Bacterial small subunit ribosomal RNA", at positions 338 to 795 of the family's 1533-position model. The record is from RNAcentral.